GAUGAACGCUGGCGGCGUGCUUAACACAUGCAAGUCGAACGGAAAGGCCCAAGCUUGCUUGGGUCCUCGAGUGGCGAACGGGUGAGUAACACGUGGGUGAUCUGCCCUGCACUUCGGGAUAAGCCUGGGAAACUGGGUCUAAUACCGGAUAGGACCACUUCUUGGAUGUUGUGGUGGAAAGUUUUUUCGGUGUGGGAUGAGCUCGCGGCCUAUCAGCUUGUUGGUGGGGUAAUGGCCUACCAAGGCGUCGACGGGUAGCCGGCCUGAGAGGGUGUACGGCCACAUUGGGACUGAGAUACGGCCCAGACUCCUACGGGAGGCAGCAGUGGGGAAUAUUGCACAAUGGGCGCAAGCCUGAUGCAGCGACGCCGCGUGGGGGAUGACGGCCUUCGGGUUGUAAACGCCUUUCGCUAGGGACGAAGCGUUUUGUGACGGUACCUGGAGAAGAAGCACCGGCUAACUACGUG
RNAcentral lists this ribosomal RNA (467 nucleotides) under uncultured bacterium. RNAcentral's name for it is "partial 16S ribosomal RNA". It matches the Rfam family "Bacterial small subunit ribosomal RNA", at positions 28 to 507 of the family's 1533-position model. The record is from RNAcentral.